This 482-nucleotide ribosomal RNA is filed under the name uncultured bacterium. Its description in RNAcentral is "bacterial SSU rRNA". It matches the Rfam family "Bacterial small subunit ribosomal RNA", at positions 29 to 507 of the family's 1533-position model. The record is from RNAcentral.
AUUGAACGCUGGCGGCAUGCCUUACACAUGCAAGUCGAACGGUAACGCGGGGCAACCUGGCGACGAGUGGCGAACGGGUGAGUAAUAUAUCGGAACGUGCCCAGUAGUGGGGGAUAGCCCGGCGAAAGCCGGAUUAAUACCGCAUGAGACCUGAGGGUGAAAGCGGGGGAUCGCAAGACCUCGCGCUAUUGGAGCGGCCGAUAUCAGAUUAGGUAGUUGGUGGGGUAAAGGCCUACCAAGCCGACGAUCUGUAGCUGGUCUGAGAGGACGACCAGCCACACUGGGACUGAGACACGGCCCAGACUCCUACGGGAGGCAGCAGUGGGGAAUUUUGGACAAUGGGCGCAAGCCUGAUCCAGCCAUGCCGCGUGCGGGAAGAAGGCCUUCGGGUUGUAAACCGCUUUUGUACGGAACGAAACGGUGAGCUCUAAUAAAGCUUGCUAAUGACGGUACCGUAAGAAUAAGCACCGGCUAACUACGUG